GUGAAUCAUCAAAUUUUUGAACGCAAAUUGCACUCUCUGGCAUUCCGGAGAGUAUGCCUGUUUGAGGCCAGGAUAAUUAAAAAUGGAGCGAUGCUUUUUGGGUGACGCAACGGGGGUUUGGUCAUCUUUACUUUUUUUUUUAAGAAACCUAAAAUUAACAUUCUUUUUUUGUUCCUUUUUGAAAGUACAUUAUUUUUUUUAUUUGUCUUACCUUGUU
Molecule: unclassified non-coding RNA, 217 nt
Filed under: Glomeraceae sp.
Lineage: Eukaryota; Fungi; Glomeromycota; Glomeromycetes; Glomerales; Glomeraceae
Description: partial contains 5.8S ribosomal RNA and internal transcribed spacer 2
Rfam family: 5.8S ribosomal RNA (bases 1-71)
Source: RNAcentral